AGAACCCCGGCGAGGGGAGUGAAAAAGAACCUGAAACCGUGUACGUACAAGCAGUGGGAGCCCCACCACUAAGCCAGUGGUGAACUCCACAUACGCAUCCUUUGCUGAGGAUACGGUUAACGGAGCGCAAGCGACGUUCAACCUCAAAAGAAGCAGAGGGGGCUUAGUGGUGGGGUGACUGCGUACCUUUUGUAUAAUGGGUCAGCGACUUAUAUUCUGUAGCAAGGUUAACCGAAUAGGGGAGCCGGAGGGAAACCGAGUCUUAAUUGGG
RNAcentral lists this ribosomal RNA (271 nucleotides) under Salmonella enterica subsp. enterica. RNAcentral's name for it is "partial 23S ribosomal RNA". It matches the Rfam family "Bacterial large subunit ribosomal RNA", at positions 520 to 692 of the family's 2925-position model. Lineage: Bacteria; Pseudomonadati; Pseudomonadota; Gammaproteobacteria; Enterobacterales; Enterobacteriaceae. The record is from RNAcentral.